Long non-coding RNA from Cyprinus carpio carpio, 631 nucleotides. Lineage: Eukaryota; Metazoa; Chordata; Actinopteri; Cypriniformes; Cyprinidae. The record is from Ensembl.
CCCGAGGACCACACCGAGAGAGAGAGACGACAGAACCGGGAACAACGACCAGCCUGUCAGAGAGAAGGAGAGAACGGCUGCUAAAGUCUGCACACUCUUCAAAAUAAAGGUCCCCGGAGACGCUCACGCUGGGCCGCUGUCCGUGAUGCAUUAAUCAUGUCCGAAUCCUCAAGACAAAGAGCCACGCGUUUCUCGUCUGCAUGUGAAAUGAUGCGACGCGGGCCUGCCACGAGGUUAAACUCUCAAACGUGCUCUUUGAUGGGCUUUAAUGAGAUGUCAGCGCCCAGACGGAUUUCUCUGCUGUCCCGUAAAACAGGCCACGGAGCACGAAGCCGCAUCUCUGUGAUCUGCUCAAAAACACACCUAGAUGUGUCGCAACACUUUCACACAAUCACCGCGUCAGGAGUGUGACGUCUGUCAAGCAGGAUUUAAGUUGAGUUUAUGCAAAGAGGCACCCCAGACAGCAAGCAGUUUCGGUCCAGAUCCGGCCCACAUCCGGCCCCCCAUGGAUUUCACACAGGCCAGAUGUGGGCCGGAUCUGGGCCAACACUAUGUUGUUAUCUGAGACUAAACUGAAAGCCCUUUCAGAUCAGAACCGUGAGUCAAACCUGCUUCAUACUCAUCAACUUCU